This is a long non-coding RNA of Pseudopipra pipra, 1438 nucleotides long. RefSeq lists it as uncharacterized. The transcript has 2 exons. Lineage: Eukaryota; Metazoa; Chordata; Aves; Passeriformes; Pipridae. The record is from RefSeq and is a predicted model, not a curated record.
AAAUCCAGUUCCCUCAAGGACUCUGCUCUUCAAAGGAACACCGAUGAUUUUAGAAGAGAAGGAAGUUCCCUCUGAGAAAAUGUGAGAUGGUAUUGACAGCUACUAUGCAUUGAUAGAAAUUAUAUCUUCUAUGAAUGAUAGAAACUACAACCAACGCAUGACGAAAAUGGUUUUUACCUUCACUGCAGAGGAUGCCAGACCUUCCAUAUGGACACAAGCAAACAGCAUCUCGAUUGGACUUUGGAAAACACGUAGCACCAUUUCCACAUGGAUUUUCAUCACAAGUCACAAACUGGCAAAGUUUUCCUGUGUAGAGUUUAGGGCAUUCACAGUACCAAUUUUCUGCAUCACUGAAAAGUUUAAAUUAAAAACAAAAAAAUAUGUAUAAGUACCAAAAUGCACUUAAAACAAACAGAACAGGUUUUAUACUCAUUGAAAAUCGGUGGCAUUUGACUUAUAGUUGUAAUAGAUCUCUUUGUUUUUAGUAGUGCACCUGGCAUUAGGCAUGCCAGAAUCUUUAUUGGCGACUUGACAGGUUCUUUAGUGUUUAAUUUUAUAUUUUAAUUUAUCUUUCCUUUCAUGGUGAGAUAUGUGACUUUUCUAAUAUCUCAGUAGUUGAUUGUGCUCCAUCUUUCAUAGAACAGUCAAAACAACUGCUACAGAAAAACAGGUCUUCUAUUAUGUCUGAAAAAAUGAAAUCGUGAAAACAAAAAAAAUGAAAGUUACUACUUUACUUUGCAAAUGGAAACAUCAUGUAUUACAUGUAGCUUGUGGCAGCACAGUAGGAUGUAAAAAAAGCCCUGAAUUAUGCUUACAGUAGUGACUAUAUUGAAACUGAAACAGAAUAAACAGGUAAUAUCUCUGCUAUCAUAUAACUUAUGUUUUCAGUCAUAAAAACAAUAUUAGAAUAGGCAACAGAAUAAUAUAAGUUCUAAUCAGUCUUGAGGGGUGACAAACCAAAAGGCUUAGAAAUAUGCAUAUUCUGUUUGUACAAAUGAUUUUUUUUACAGUAUUCAAAGAUAACACAAUGACAGAUAUGGUAGGAAAACCAAAAUCAGAUAGGAAAAACAGAAGUGUAAGACAUUCUCAUCUGUCAUUUAUUAUAAAUAUAAUUUCAUUAAAGGUCUUAUUUGGUCUUCUCCUUUUUUUUUAUGGCCAAAAUUAUAUAAUAGCUAGAUAGGUCAGUUCAUGUGAUUGCUAUAUAUUGUCAGUAUUGAACAGAAAGAUGUCUGCUUUAUACUUGAUAAGGUCACAUGUGCCUGUGGGUAUGAAUGCAGAAGACAUAAAGUGUGUUGUAUCAAAUCACAGUCGCUGUGGUUUUCCGAUAAUAGCACAAUCAUUAGGAUGAGCACUAAUGAAAUAUCAAAUAUAUGUGAUUCAAAAGCUCUAUUAUCUGCUUAUAAUAUCCAUGCAAUCAGAUUAAAGGAAAUAAUCUGAA